This 204-nucleotide long non-coding RNA is filed under the name Lupinus angustifolius (narrow-leaved blue lupine). RNAcentral describes it as "long non-coding RNA (LANG_LNC000765)". The record is from RNAcentral. Lineage: Eukaryota; Viridiplantae; Streptophyta; Magnoliopsida; Fabales; Fabaceae.
GUGUAUUUAAUGAGAGAUAUAGAAAAUAGAGUAUGUAGAAAUUCAUUGCAAAUCACCCAAUGACAAGAGCUAUAUCUCUCAAAAGUCAAAACUACAUGCAAAAGCUUUAUAAAUGAUGGAAUAGAAUAUGGACCAUGCAUUCCCUUCCAAAAAUUGUGCACCUUUCAAACCAGGAUAGUGAAAUAAUAUGUAAUCCGAAAACAG